GAGUUCAAUCUAAGCUUGCUUUUUCCCUUUCGAGUGUACUGGAUCGAUAGGUGAGAAAAGUUUUUAUGAACAAGAAGUUAUAAACUUCUCUUAUAUGCCAUCUAAAAUUUAUGUUUAAGUAAAAUGCACCACAAGUACUCUUAACUUAUCGCUCUGCAUCAACUAGGUCUCCAAACUUCUAAAAUAAGUAAAAUAUGGCGCAACAGACGCAGGGCACAUGUGGGGGAGAGGGAGACGGGGGCGUAGGGAAGAUUAGCCCUGCCGGUGCUCUUCAUCAUCAUGAUUCUGGCGUGGUGUUCUUCAUCUCCGGCCUGCUCCAUCUCCUCGUCCUCGUCCUCGUCC
RNAcentral lists this long non-coding RNA (342 nucleotides) under Panicum hallii. RNAcentral describes it as "long non-coding RNA (PHAL_LNC000649)". Lineage: Eukaryota; Viridiplantae; Streptophyta; Magnoliopsida; Poales; Poaceae. The record is from RNAcentral.